This 90-nucleotide transfer RNA is filed under the name Nitrosarchaeum sp. RNAcentral's name for it is "tRNA-Pro". It matches the Rfam family "tRNA". Rfam says of the family: Transfer RNA (tRNA) molecules are approximately 80 nucleotides in length. The record is from RNAcentral. Lineage: Archaea; Thermoproteati; Nitrososphaerota; Nitrososphaeria; Nitrosopumilales; Nitrosopumilaceae.
CGGAGUGUCGGCUAGCAUGGUUUUGGCCACCUGGUUUGGGACCAGGAUCUCUAACGAGAAACGCAGGUUCAAAUCCUGUCACUCCGACCA